Molecule: non-coding RNA, 77 nt
Organism: Podarcis lilfordi (Lilford's wall lizard)
Lineage: Eukaryota; Metazoa; Chordata; Lepidosauria; Squamata; Lacertidae
Source: the annotation of a GenBank genome assembly
UGCACUGGAAUAGCUCAGUCGGUAGAGCAUGAGUCUCUUAAUCUCAAGGCUAUGAGUUUGAGCCCCACGCUAGGCAA